GACGAACGCUGGCGGCAUGCCUAAUACAUGCAAGUCGAACGAGCUGAGAGAGUGCUUGCACUCUCGACGCGAGUGGCGGACGGGUGAGUAACACGUGGGAAACCUACCUGUAAGUAUGGGAUAACAUUCGGAAACGGAUGCUAAUACCGCAUAUUUCUAAUCGUCUCCUGACGAAUGGAAGAAAGGUGGCUUCGGCUACCGCUUAUGGAUGGACCCGCGGCGUAUUAGCUAGUUGGUGAGGUAAUGGCUCACCAAGGCGAUGAUACGUAGCCGACCUGAGAGGGUGAUCGGCCACACUGGGACUGAGACACGGCCCAG
This 318-nucleotide ribosomal RNA is filed under the name uncultured bacterium. Its description in RNAcentral is "bacterial SSU rRNA". It matches the Rfam family "Bacterial small subunit ribosomal RNA", at positions 28 to 334 of the family's 1533-position model. The record is from RNAcentral.